UAAAUAUAAAUAAUCUAUAUUAUAUUAUAUUAUAUUAUAUUAUAACCUACAGUUAUGUUGAUAAGAGGAAGAGGCAGGAUGGAAAAUAAAAUUGGCUCAUGGCUCAUUAUUGUGUUGUGUAUUUCCUUUCACAUCAAGUGCACCGUUACCGAUAUCGCUUUACAAUUUUUUUUUUUUAUUUUCAUACAAAAAGAUGAUUCGAUGAUCAGUGCCGCUACAAUAUUUUUGUCGUUUGUCAAUCAUCUUUGCACGAAAUCGGCGAAUCAAUUAUCAUUACACGUAUUUCAUAGAUAUAAUAUAUAAUAUAUAUAUAUAUAUAUCUUUAUCUUUAGCAUAACCUUCUUCUUUUUAAAGUGAAUAUCAUACAAAAUCUAAAGAUAUACGAAAUUUAACUUUUAUUCUUCAUUAUAUAUGAACAUAAUAUAGUAAUACAAUACAUGGCUGUACUUCAAUUUUAUCUUUUUUAAUUAUAAAUAUUGUUUAUAAUUUAUAAAAAGAAAAGAAAAAAAGUUUCUAGUUUGUCAUGGAUCAACGAAUUAAAUCGGAGACGGCGGUAAUAGGCCCUUAUUUUAGAGCAUUUACAUUUUUUUUUUUUUUUAUGAAACCAUUCUUUUCGUGUCAAUUCUAUGUCUCAAACGAUAAUCGCUAAAUCGAUUUGAAUUUGGUCGUGUAUCGUUCUUUUACAUGUGCGCGCGCAGAUUACAGUUAUUAUGUGCACUAAUUCCGAUUGUUCAAUAUUGUUCGAUAUCGGACGCGAAAAUUUAAAGAGUUGUUUAAGUAUUGUAACCAUAUGAUAUAAAGCUCAAUCACAAUUAAAUUAAAAGAAUAUAUCUUAAAAAAAUAUGUUUUAUAUAUAUAGAACGGAAGAAUAUCAUUACAAAAGGACAAGCAAUUGUUGUUACAAAUCCCGAUGCAACGUCGCAACGAUUAAUAACUAUAAUUAUAAAGAAUACUUUUGGUAAUACUUUUUUGUAUUAUCCUUCUAACGUAUUUCUAAUAUUUUUUACAAUUCUGUAACGAAGAAAAAUAGGUGAUGGAAAUUAUAAAACGAAGUAUACAUAUAUAGAGAGAUCUGUUUUAAAGUCUAAAAGUGAGUAUUUGAAAAAAGCCAUUAAUUCAACAUGUUUCUUGAAAAACGCUCUAUACAUGUAUAAAAAGUUGAAUACCCAGAUUCAAACAUCUUUUCUCUUUGAGUAUUGAGGGAAAAAAGAAUCACUAUGCAAUUUUUUGUAAUUCUAGCAGUUAUUUACAAUGAAAGAUUAAUACAUACACAUCAUAUCGAUCGAUAAUCGUAUAAAAAUCAUAUUUUUUAGAUUAUACAAAUAAGUAUGAUUGAUGCUAUUUCGAGUAAUGAUAAAAUAAUUAAUCAAUUUUAUUAAUUAUGGUUAAUCUCUUUUUUUUGUGAUAUCUAAUGCAUAAAACAUGCAAUAUAUUAAUCUUUAGAUUAUUUUCAUCUUAAUAUUUAGCAAUAUCUAAAAGGUAAAAAAGAUUGUUUAAAAAAUUUAAGUAUGCCCGUAUAAAAAUUCUCGAAAAUUCUCACUUAAAAAUUUCAAAACUCAACUCAAAAUAUCAAGUUAUAAAAGUACAAAAUUGAUGGUAUAAAAAACUGAUUUCUAUUGUCAAUUGUAUAUAAAAAGGAUCGUGAUUCGUAUCACACGUCUUAAACUCAUCAGUCACAUAGAAUAUCACAGGAACGUUAGUAGGUGCCAUUGGAUUUAUACAUAUCAAAUAUAAUAGAUAUUAUAUUGCUUGUGCAUGUAUUAAAAAAUAUAAAGAAUAAUAAAAAAAACAAAAUUUCAAUCAUUCUUUUUCAAUUCAAAGUUCAAAUUGUGUUAAUUGUCUUCAUUAUUAAGAUAAUAUACUAUGUACAUUAUAAAAAGUUUUCUCAAUGUACUUUUGUGAAUACAAAAAGCAAUAAAAACAUAAGCAAUAAUUAAAGCAUGAUGAAAAAUGAAUGAUAAUAAUCAAAAUAUCUUUACUGAUAAUUAUCUUACUUGUUAUUGCAAAUUUCACUUUAUGUAUCAAAAUUGUAAAAAAGUCUUCACUCUUCAAAGACUCAGAUUUUCAAGCAAAAUAGUUUUCCAUUAUAUAUUUGGAAAAAUUUGUUUCCCUUCUUUCGAAUUGUAAUAAGUUAUGCUGCUAUUAAUUGCCAUUUUAUAUCAGAGAGAUAAAAGAAAAUUCAAAACUUUUUUCUAGUAAAAUCUCAAAGGUUUUUUUCUUUUUAUUUUUAAUUUCAAUGAUUAUUAUUUGUUUAAUGCAGCACAAUCAUAUUGACAACAAUAAUCAUAUAAUAAUCAUGCUCAUUGCUAUUACAAUAGCAUAAUUUACAAAAUUCUAUACUAGCUGAUUCAAAUACUAUUAACACAGUUAUUUCUUUCAAAUAUUAGAAUGAAUUUAUCAUGAAUGGCAUCUUUAACAUGUAAAGUAAUACAUGGUUUGUCAGUCACCUUUCUCUGGUCACAGAAGAGAAUAUUUAUAUAAUAUGUAUCCUAUAUGAAAUUAUAUUAAUUAUUCAUGAAAAAGACCGCCGUCUCCUCAUUUUCUUAUAACGUAUUGCCUAAUUAUAUUAAUAAUUAACAAACGUCACGCACAGGUUUCUUAUAGGGCACGCUAUAUCAUUUUUCGCGCUACAUAUUCCUAGCCAGUUACAUAGAGCCAUUUAUACCUCAAGAUAAAUUAAAGUUAAUAUCGAUCAAAUUAAUAAUCAACUUUAAUCGACCAUUUAAUUUUAUUGAAAAAAAAAAAAAGAAAAAAAAAAUUAAUGUAUUAUCAAUACAGUUCUGAUGCAAUUAAUAAUACAUUUAUUUUUAUGUUAUAAUUUAUUUUUUGAGAUAAAAUGGUAAAUUGGAAUCAUUAAUGUGCAAUUAUUAACUUUAACUUACAUCUGAGGUAUCUCUAUAUUAUCAUAAUAAUGUAGUUUGCAUCUUUCGAUGUUCAUUUUAUAAAAUAAAAAGUUAAAAAAGUGUGGUGAUACACUUGCUACUUGAAACAUUUCUUUUUUUUUUCCCCCUUUUUUCAAUGGAUCGUAUCAGAAUUUUUAUCGUGAUAAAAAUAAAAAAUUGUAUACAUUAAUUUACAACAAUGCUUUUAAUCCUUCUAAUUCAUACACUGGCUGUAAAAAUGUCGAUGUUUCUUUAUACACAUACUACGAGAUGAAAAUAUGUAAUAAGAACAGUACAUGCAAUUAAUUACAAAAUUGUAAUAACAAUUUUGCAAUUGCAUAAUGUCAUAUCAAAUAUUAACAAUGGUUAUAUCAUUACUGUUCUAAAUUGCGCAUUUUCGCGAGCAUGUAAAGUAUA
Molecule: long non-coding RNA, 3299 nt
Organism: Apis mellifera (honey bee)
Lineage: Eukaryota; Metazoa; Arthropoda; Insecta; Hymenoptera; Apidae
Exons: 2
Source: RefSeq, a predicted model, not a curated record